Macrobrachium nipponense is the source of this 781-nucleotide long non-coding RNA. RefSeq lists it as uncharacterized. NCBI's taxonomy places the organism in Eukaryota, Metazoa, Arthropoda, Malacostraca, Decapoda, Palaemonidae. The transcript has 3 exons. The record is from RefSeq and is a predicted model, not a curated record.
CCUUGGAAACCAGUUCGUGGGGCUCUCGUACAUAAGAAUGGAAAUGAAGAUGCUGGGAAUCGGGAAUUUCUCUCCGUCAAUUUCACAAAGGCUUAAAAAUAGUUGCAAUUGAAUAUCUAAUAUUAGAGUUGAUAUUUAGAGCUGCAGUUGGUUUUAUUAUAACCACCCGUGUUGUUUCAACAUGGGAACGUCGAAAGCAGGAAUGGUGUACGGAAGUUUUUAAUUGAUUUGGCAUUGGAGUUAACGAAUGCAGAGAAGUUUUAACCAGGCCAGCAUCAUUUUUCUCACACCCUUCGACCCGCAGGUGUAGGAAUCUUUCAACGAUCUUGGAAAAAAAUGGAAGGACGAAAGUAGUAAAGUCAUCUAGAAGGAUGGAAGUAGUAAAGGCAUCUAGAAGGAUGGAAGUAGUCAAGUCAUCUAGAAGGAUGGAAGUAGUCAAGUCAUCUAGAAGGAUGGAAGUAGUCAAGUCAUCUAGGACCCUACUCUUGGAGUACAACAUAUUUGUCAGUGAAGUUGGAAAAUGAUAGCGGUGACAAAAAUGUCUUCAGAGUCGAGCCCGAGAAGAAACCUCUGUAAAUGAAAAUUGCCAGACUCUGAAUGUGGUUUGUCUAGGGGCCUUUAACAACAAAGAAAACUUGCUUCUAGAAGCGAGUGAAAAAUUUCCAAAAAGUAGCAGUGAAAAAGUCCUGUCAACUCUGAGAAACUUCCAUUCAAUUUACUUGACAAGAUAACCCAAGUUCUUAUUUGCAUGCUAAAUAACAAUAAAAUCUUUCUCCGUUUA